RNAcentral lists this ribosomal RNA (1477 nucleotides) under uncultured bacterium. RNAcentral describes it as "bacterial SSU rRNA". It matches the Rfam family "Bacterial small subunit ribosomal RNA". The record is from RNAcentral.
GAUUGAACGCUGGCGGCAGGCCUAACACAUGCAAGUCGAGCGGUAGCACAGAGAGCUUGCUCUCGGGUGACGAGCGGCGGACGGGUGAGUAAUGUCUGGGAAACUGCCUGAUGGAGGGGGAUAACUACUGGAAACGGUAGCUAAUACCGCAUAAUGUCGCAAGACCAAAGUGGGGGACCUUCGGGCCUCAUGCCAUCAGAUGUGCCCAGAUGGGAUUAGCUAGUAGGUGGGGUAACGGCUCACCUAGGCGACGAUCCCUAGCUGGUCUGAGAGGAUGACCAGCCACACUGGAACUGAGACACGGUCCAGACUCCUACGGGAGGCAGCAGUGGGGAAUAUUGCACAAUGGGCGCAAGCCUGAUGCAGCCAUGCCGCGUGUGUGAAGAAGGCCUUCGGGUUGUAAAGCACUUUCAGCAGGGAGGAAGGCGGUGAGGUUAAUAACCUCAUCGAUUGACGUUACCCGCAGAAGAAGCACCGGCUAACUCCGUGCCAGCAGCCGCGGUAAUACGGAGGGUGCAAGCGUUAAUCGGAAUUACUGGGCGUAAAGCGCACGCAGGCGGUCUGUCAAGUCGGAUGUGAAAUCCCCGGGCUUAACCUGGGAACUGCAUUCGAAACUGGCAGGCUAGAGUCUUGUAGAGGGGGGUAGAAUUCCAGGUGUAGCGGUGAAAUGCAUAGAGAUCUGGAGGAAUACCGGUGGCGAAGGCGGCCCCCUGGACAAAGACUGACGCUCAGGUGCGAAAGCGUGGGGAGCAAACAGGAUUAGAUACCCUGGUAGUCCACGCCGUAAACGAUGUCGAUUUGGAGGUUGUGCCCUUGAGGCGUGGCUUCCGGAGCUAACGCGUUAAAUCGACCGCCUGGGGAGUACGGCCGCAAGGUUAAAACUCAAAUGAAUUGACGGGGGCCCGCACAAGCGGUGGAGCAUGUGGUUUAAUUCGAUGCAACGCGAAGAACCUUACCUGGUCUUGACAUCCACAGAACUUUCCAGAGAUGGAUUGGUGCCUUCGGGAACUGUGAGACAGGUGCUGCAUGGCUGUCGUCAGCUCGUGUUGUGAAAUGUUGGGUUAAGUCCCGCAACGAGCGCAACCCUUAUCCUUUGUUGCCAGCGGUCCGGCCGGGAACUCAAAGGAGACUGCCAGUGAUAAACUGGAGGAAGGUGGGGAUGACGUCAAGUCAUCAUGGCCCUUACGACCAGGGCUACACACGUGCUACAAUGGCAUAUACAAAGAGAAGCGACCUCGCGAGAGCAAGCGGACCUCAUAAAGUAUGUCGUAGUCCGGAUUGGAGUCUGCAACUCGACUCCAUGAAGUCGGAAUCGCUAGUAAUCGUAGAUCAGAAUGCUACGGUGAAUACGUUCCCGGGCCUUGUACACACCGCCCGUCACACCAUGGGAGUGGGUUGCAAAAGAAGUAGGUAGCUUAACCUUCGGGAGGGCGCUUACCACUUUGUGAUUCAUGACUGGGGUGAAGUCGUAACAAGG